CAGGCCCUGACCUUACAUCCUAAGUGUCCUCAACAAACUGGGAACUUCCAUUUUCCUCACAGCCUCUGUCAUGGUUUAUAGUUUCAGACCCACCUUCAGAUGGUAUCUGAGCCUGACAUAGCAUCUGUGUACUUUUGCAUGGUUGAAAUUUUCCAUACUAAACAUUUUUUUUUUUUAAAGAGUAGCAUUUGGGUUUUCAUUCUCUGCUCUCUCUGGAGCCGGGCUCCACCUCACCAGCUUAAGGAGUUAUCUUGUCUCAAGUGGGCGCUUCAGUCUCUGACCACCUCCAGGCCUGGCCACACCCAGCUUACCUGGGAAAUAUCAACCUCACGAUGUGGAUGUGGUGUCUGGAGCUCUGGCUGCCCUCUGGGAACAUGAGGUCAAGCAAGCAUCACCCCUUUGGGGUGACAGGGUGAUGGACUGGAAGGAGCCUGGGUUCCUGAAAGUUCUGUGGAGCUGCCACACCAACCCUGGACCGCCUGUGUGAUAGAGAAAACCUGUUAUCUUGUUUGAUCAACUGUUACUUGGCUUUUCCAUACUACCUGAUUACACCCUUCGCCAAGCGCCUGGAGGGGCUCAGCACCCUGUUCCAGGCCCAGAAAAACAGCAAAACCAGACCAGCAACCCUAUGGCUGACCGCAGGACCAGCUGCAUUGGAUAAUGACCCCUGGUGCAGGCCAAUCAGUGGAGACCACAA
Myotis brandtii (Brandt's bat) is the source of this 697-nucleotide long non-coding RNA. RefSeq lists it as uncharacterized. Lineage: Eukaryota; Metazoa; Chordata; Mammalia; Chiroptera; Vespertilionidae. The record is from RefSeq and is a predicted model, not a curated record. The transcript has 3 exons.